CUACAAUGAAGGUGGUAUUGGAAAAUAUUUAGGAUUGCCUGAGCAGUUUGGAUCAAAGAAGAGUGAGAUGUUUGCAUAUAUUGUGGAUAAAGGGUACAAGGAUGGAAACAAAAACAUCUUACACAGGGAGGCAAGGAAGUACUUCUCAAAUCUAUUGCAUUGGCAAUGCCUAUAUUCUCUAUGAAUAUUUUCCGGUUACCAAAGGAAAUUUGCGAGGAGAUUAAUGCAAUUUUGGCAAGAUUUUGGUGGGGUUCAGGUGAGAAAAGAGGAUUACAUUGGUAUGCUUGGAAGAGAGUAUGCAUUCCUAAGAAAGAAGGAGGACUGGGAUUUCGAGAUUUGGAAAGCUUCAACCAAGCACUUCUGGGGAAACAGGUAUGGAGAAUACUGCAGAACCCAAAUAUAUUGAUGGCAAGGAUUCUGAGAGCACGUUAUUUCCCUGAUGGUGAUAUCUUAAGUGCUACACUCAAGAGAAAGUCUUCUUAUGCUUGGAAAUCAAUUCUUCAUGGAAAGGAAUUGAUACUAAAAGGGAUGAGAUAUAUAAUUGGAAAUGGAACAACGACAAAGAUGUGGACAGACUCCUGGCUAAGCUUACGCCCACCAAGACCUCCACGGCCAAGGAGGGUAAUCAAUCACAAUACGAGGGUCAGUGAUUAUAUCAAUGAAAAUAGAACGGGAUGGAAUCUGGAGAAUCUUAGAGAAGACGUGGUGUAGGAUGAUAUUGUCAAAAUACUGGCACUAAGGAUAUCUCCCAAGGCAGAGCAAGAUCUGAUGGGCUGGCACUACAAUGAUAGCGGUCUCUAUACAGUAAAAUCAGGCUAUUGGCUGGCAACGCAUCUCCCUGACAACAAUUUUAUACCACCAACUUACGGGAAUGUGGCUUUGAAGAAAACAAUAUGGAAUACAAAGUUACCAUCUAAAUUGAAACAUUUCCUUUGGAGAAUAUCAUCUCGGAGUAUAGCUACAGGAAACAACUUGCGAAGAAGACAUGUAACAAGAGAUGUGAUAUGUAAAAGAUGCUGGUUAGAAGAAGAAACAGAGGAACAUCUAUUCUUCACUUGCCCAUAUGCGAAAAAGAUUUGGAGGGCUUCAAGUAUUGCUAACAGAAUUAUUGAUAGCAUGACAACAAGUUAUGAAGAAAAAAUAGAGGCAUGUCUACAAGUGUCAAACGUGAUGAGAUUGAGCCAUCUUCAGGAUAUACCUGUUUGGAUUCUGUGGAGAAUUUGGAAGAGUAGAAAUCUACUACUAUAUCAUCAUCGACAACUAUUGGAGUAUGUGUUGGGAAACGCUAGAAGUGAUGCUCGAGAAUGGAAGAAUGCAGAUCAACAAGAAACUGAUACAUUAAACUGUAAUAGUGUAUCUUCUGGAGUAAGGAAAAAAUAAAAGUGGAAAGCACCACCAGCACAAUGGUUAAAAUGCAAUGUAGAUGCAUCAUUUAUUAACACUCAAGUACCGGCGUGUGCUGGUUGGGUCAUUCGGGACGAUAGAGGACGAUAUCAGGGAGCAGUACAGACCCAAGGUUAUGCAGUUUGCUCUUCUCUGGAGAGUGAGUUACAAGCUAUCCUUAUGGCACUAGAACACUGCUGGAGGAAAGGAUAUAGAAAGAUUAUAAUUGAAUCUGACUGUAAACAAGCUAUUGAUAUUCUCAAUGGUAAAGUGCUACACUUUGCUUGUUACAAUUGGAAAAGAGAGAUAUGGUGGUGGGCUGAGAAGAUUCAUGACGUCUCUUUCACAUGGAUACACCGUGAAGCAAAUAAAGUGGCUGAUGCGUUAGCUAGAAUAAGAAACCCCUCUAUGCCUAGCUUUUGCUUCUAUUAUUAUGUUCUUAUUUUGAUAACAAAUCUUCUACAUGAAGAUUAUGUACAAGUUUGAUUUUAAUAAUAAAGUUGCUGUAUUCAUCCGUCUCUUUCACAUGGAUUCACCGUGAAGCAAAUAAAUGGCUGAAGCGUUAGCUAGAAUAAGAAACCCCUCUAUGCCUAGCUUUUGUUUCUAUUAUUAUGUUCCUACUUUGAUAACAAAUCUUCUACAUGAAGAUUAUGUACAAGUUUGAUUUUAAUAAUAAAGUUGCUGUUAGAAAAAAAAAACGAAAAAAGGAACUAUAUUGGUUGGCAAAACAGAAAAAAAAAAGUAUAGGCGAUCCUACAUCAGUGUCUCUAUAAAUUCCCACCCAUCAGUCCCCUAACGAAAAAGAUCUGACAAACACUCUUUUCUCUCUCGCAAGCGAAAACAAAUCCGAGACUUAAGUUUCAUCCGUCUCUUUCACAUGGAUACACCAUGAAGCAAAUAAAGUGGCUGAUGCGUUAGCUAGAAUAAGAAACCCCUCUAUGCCUAGCUUUUGUUUCUAUUAUUAUGUUCAUACUUUGAUAACAAAUCUUCUACAUGAAGAUUAUGUACAAGUUUGAUUUUAUAAUAAAGUUGCAAUUAGAAAAAAAAAAACGAAAAAAAGAACUAUAGCGGUUGGCAAAACAGAAAAAAAAAAAGUAGAGGGGGUCCUACAUCAGUGUCUCUAUAAAUUCCCACUCAUCAGUCCUCUAACGAAAAAGAUUUGACAAACACUCUUUUCUCUCUCGCAAGCGAAAACAAAUCCGAGACUUAAGUUUUUUCUUCUUCUUUACAUUACUGUUCGAUUUCGUUCUCUCCCUCUUUCAAAUCCAAAAAACUAGGGUUUAGCAAUGUGGACAGCAACAAGUCUGGGUCGUGAUCCGUUGUUCAUGUCUUCUUCCUCCUCAAAUUCUGAUCGUGCGGCAGCAAUAAAGAUUAGGUUCGCAGAUAUAAUUGUUAAGUCAAGUAGUAACAAGUCCGAGGCAGGGCCGUGCCUAAACGAAAGCAAGUAAAGCAUGUGCUUUGGGCCUUAGAUAAAAUUAAGUAUUUAAAGGGCUAAUUAUUUACGAAAUCCUUCCCUAGUUUAGUUGGUUAAAAGAGCAUUUUGUAGGGUUAAAGGUAAAAAGUUUGAUUCUUUUCCUAGAAUAAAUUUUUAAAUUUCACUAAAAUAGCCAUAUAAUUAUUUUGUGCUUGGGGCCAUUUGAUGUCAGGCACGUCCCUGGUCUGAAGCUAUGAUGAAUAUCAAAAGAGAGAAGCUACUUCUUCAGAAAAGGCAGCUUCAAGAAAAAGCCAGGAUCGAGGCAAGGAUGAAAGUUAGACAAGAGGAAAGGCUUGCGUUAGUUAAGAUGGAAGAAGAAGAAGCAAGAUCAAACUGUAAGUUCGAACAAGAUCCCUUGUCUGCCGAAAAAGUCGAAAACGAACUGUUAAUUCUCAUUGGCGGUUCCCGUAAGGCAAGAGAUCGAUCUUUGCUUAAAAAGUUUGGGUUGGUUUUAAAAACUGAUCAUAUUGAUGAUGAUCGUCUUUAUGAUCUUGAGGAAGGUGAAAUCUUUUAAGAGUAGUAGUAGUUUCCUCACAGUUGUUUGAUUAGAAGAUCGUGUAGAAUUGUUUGAUGGUUAAUUGGUCUUUGAUCCUCUAAAGUUUUGAGUUUUAUUGUCAUGUCAUUCUUUCUUGAAGGUUGUAACUGAUUUACUAGAUAACAUCAACUUGAUUUGACUGCUCAAGUCAUUGCUUAUUUGCUUACGCUUCUAUGGAUAUUACACUGACACCACUGGACAUUGCCUUACAUUCCAUGGUUUUGUUUUGAUUUGGUCCUUUCAUCCUUUGGAUCUCUUUGAUUGAUCUUUCUUCUUUCUGUUUCAAUGUAUUUUGUGAGGUCAAAUGGCUUCCUGUAUCCCACAUAUUUUCUCGUGAUACUUAACCAUCUGCAUCUAAGCAGCCAUUCAGUGUCUAAAUAUAGCAAUUAUGAGGAAAGGCUGAGUUCAACAUCUUCUGUAAACAUUGGUGUAAACCGACUCUGUUUCUUACUUAGAAUCCACCUUGAUCUUCCGUCUAACUUCUUAUGCAUGCUCUGUGUUCAUCAAAUGUGGCAGAUCCGAGGGAUCGACAAACACCUCUUCAUUGACCAUUCUGUUGCUGUACCUUUUACCAGUGCUCAGCUGGUUGAUCUUAGUCAAGUUGAAGAUCCAAAGCUAGGCUCUCCAUCGACCUACAAAGAUCAGAGGUAUCAACAUAAAGAAUGUAAGCGCUGAUGAUUUCUAUACCAUUGUGGUUUCAGGCCAAACGUUUGAUUUGAUCGCAUCUUUCUAUACCUCACGUCUCAUCAACUUUAAAAUGAUUAUUAAGAAGGCUUCUCUUGUUGUGUCUAUAUGUCAUCAUCACUUGUUAAUUCUUUAAAACAAACCCGUUUGUUGAGGACACUUCGGCUCAUGGAAAGAUCAUAACAUAGGGUUUCCAAAAGAUGACCAAGAACAUACUGUAACUUAAAUUCUGUCACCCCCCACCCCCAAGAAAAAAAUGAUUCGCUUCUUUGUUCCCUCUCUUGGUCUUAUAAUCUGAAGAACAGUACACUUACCAUGAGAUAAUAGCAUAUGAUUUAUAGUCUUUUAUUUGAUUGAUUUCAAGAAAAAAACGAACAACCGUCGAUUAUUAGAAAAAUAGAAAAAAGAAGGAGUAAUUAGUAACGGUUAGAUUUUAAUAGAUUUGUAGAAAAAAGGAAACAACCAAUAUAUUUAUUAGAAGAAAGGGAAAAAAAAACUAUUGGUUGUUUCCUUUUUUCUAAUACGUUUAUGAUCAGGGUCUUGAGAAAUGAAAAAUAAAUAAAUAACUAAUUAACACUGAAUAUUAGAAGAAACGAAAAAAGAAAUACCUAGUUAUUAACGGCUGGACUUUUGUCUAAACAAAAAAAAAACGAAAUAGGGAAAUUAGGUGAUAUUCAUAUAACCAAACAAAAACCCAUAAUUCAUUAUAUAACCAAAAUCACACCUUCUUUCCUCUUCUCACUUCCUAUCUAUCUAUCUAUCUCUACCUUCUUUCUACAAAACAAAUUUUACUUUUUUUUUUUGGUUAUAUCACAAAUAACUCCAAGGAAAUAUACCCAUUGCAAAACAAUAAUCGAAAUUUAAGAAAAAGGAAAAAGGAAAUAGAGCGGGUCCCGCUUAACAACAUCACCUCUCCUUUAUAAACACACUGGGUCUCUCCUACAGAAAUAGAUUUUCUUCACAGACACGCUUCGCUCUCGCAAGACAAACAACAAAUCUGCUGUGUCGAUCACGUUCUUUCCCACUCUCUGUUUCAAAUCCAAAAACUAGGGUUUUAGCAAUGACGACAGCAACAAGUCUGGGUGGUGAUCCGUUGUUCUUGUCCUCUUCCUCCUCCUCAAAAUCUGAUCGUGCGGCAGCGAUAAAGAUUAGGUUUGCAGAUAUAAUUAUCAAGUCGAGUAGUAACAUGUCUGAGGCUAUAAUGACGAUCAGAAGAGAGAAGCAACUUCUACAGAGAAGGCAGCUUGAAGAAAAAGCCAUGAUUGAGGAAAGGAUGAAAGUCAGACAAGAGGAAAGGCUUGCGAUAAUGAAGAUGGAAGGAGAAGAAGAAGCAAGAUCAAACUGCAAGUUCGAACAAGAUCCCUUGUCUGCCAAAAAAACCGAAAAAGAACUGGUAAAACUCAUUGGCGGCUCCCGUAAGGCAAGAGAUCGAUCUUUACUUAAAAAGUUUGGGUUGGUUUUAAAAACUGAUCAUAUUGAUGAUGAUCUUCUUUAUGAUCUUGAGGAAGGUGAAAUCUUUUAGAGUACUAGUAGUUUCCUCACAGUUGAAUCAUAGUAAAGUUUGCAUAUUAACAGUUUUAACCAGUGAUGAUGAUGGAUGAUCUGCGUGAUGAUCCUGAGGAACGUGAAGCGUUUAGAGUAGUAUCUUUUUUUAUUUCUGUGUAUGAUUUAGGAAACAUGUCUACACUUUUUAAGUGGAAGAUCGUGUAGAAUUGUUUGAUGAUUAAUUGGUCUUUGUGUUCUCUAAAAAGUCUUGAGUUUUACUUGUCUUGUGUUUUUUUUUUUCACUGCCUUCAAACGGAUGAUGAUGAUGAUCUUCUUGAGGAAUUUCUUAAUAGCUAAUUGCUCUUUGUUUCUUUAUAAAAGUAAUCUGAGUUUUGGUUUUGAUUACCAUUGCUGAUUGGGUUUCAAUCUUUUCAAUCCCCUGUUCUGAAUACAGAUCCAACAAGUUUUAAUUCUCCUUUAGUCUUCUUGAUUGCUUUCAAACUCGUUAAAUCUAUUCAAAGAUCCUACUUCUUCAGCUGAGAUUUUGCUUUGUCUGUGCUAAGUAUUUCAGAUUUUCUUUAGGCAAAUUAGUCAAAGUCAUCUCCCUAAACCUUUUUUGACCACUCAAUUGAUUCUCUUUCUGAUUUAGGAUGGAAGUGACCAAAGCUUCAUUCUCUUCACAGCAAACAAACGCACAGAAACAAGGCUCUGUUUCCAACCACUGUAACAAGGCAUUACGCUUAAUGUUUUCUUAUAGAUGAUUGGUCUUGUAAAAGUAGAGAUCCAAGGCUAGGCUUUCCAUCGACCUACUAACAGCAGAGUGAUAGUCGCAGGUUGUGGCCCAUGGAAUGGAAGCUUCAUUGUGCAAAGGCUAGUCUUGUUUUCAAAUAGCAGAAUAACUAAUUUCUCUCAGCGUAAUCGACAUCAGAGUACAUUCCCUUGGAUCCUGAGAAAAGGUCGCUUCCUUAAGGGUUGUAUUGAUGAUACUUGUGUAAUGAUUAUUGAAGCAUCAAUUGGCGGUGGCUGCCAAGGCUGAGGCUAGUUCCAUAAGUUACAUAAUUGCUCAGAAUAUUGAUGGUUUAACAUUUUCUUAUUUUCCGAGAAAUUCUCUUGUAAAUCACACUUUUGUUUUUCAUGUCAUGUGGUUUAUUGUUUGAUAAGAAGAGGUGAUUGUAAAGACAACAAUACAGUCAUUGUGAUGUACUAUGAUUGAUAAAACUAGAGUGUUAAGCCA
Molecule: long non-coding RNA, 6795 nt
Organism: Brassica napus (rape)
Lineage: Eukaryota; Viridiplantae; Streptophyta; Magnoliopsida; Brassicales; Brassicaceae
Exons: 3
Source: RefSeq, a predicted model, not a curated record